RNAcentral lists this ribosomal RNA (348 nucleotides) under uncultured bacterium. Its description in RNAcentral is "bacterial SSU rRNA". It matches the Rfam family "Bacterial small subunit ribosomal RNA", at positions 102 to 453 of the family's 1533-position model. The record is from RNAcentral.
ACGGGUGAGUAAUAUAUCGGAACGUGCCCUGGAGUGGGGGAUAACUAGUCNAAAGACUAGCUAAUACCGCAUACGAUCUACGGAUGAAAGUGGGGGAUCGCAAGACCUCAUGCUCGUGGAGCGGCCGAUAUCUGAUUAGCUAGUUGGNGGGGUAAAAGCCUACCAAGGCAUCGAUCAGUAGCUGGUCUGAGAGGACGACCAGCCACACUGGGACUGAGACACGGCCCAGACUCCUACGGGAGGCAGCNGUGGGGAAUUUUGGACAAUGGGGGCAACCCUGAUCCAGCAAUGCCGCGUGAGUGAAGAAGGCCUUCGGGUUGUAAAGCUCUUUUGUCAGGGAAGAAACGG